RNAcentral lists this ribosomal RNA (468 nucleotides) under uncultured bacterium. RNAcentral describes it as "partial 16S ribosomal RNA". It matches the Rfam family "Bacterial small subunit ribosomal RNA", at positions 28 to 507 of the family's 1533-position model. The record is from RNAcentral.
GACGAACGCUGGCGGCGUGCUUAACACAUGCAAGUCGAACGGAAAGGCCCUGCUUUUGUGGGGUGCUCGAGUGGCGAACGGGUGAGUAACACGUGAGUAACCUGCCCUUGACUUUGGGAUAACUUCAGGAAACUGGGGCUAAUACCGGAUAGGAGCUCCUGCUGCAUGGUGGGGGUUGGAAAGUUUCGGCGGUUGGGGAUGGACUCGCGGCUUAUCAGCUUGUUGGUGGGGUAGUGGCUUACCAAGGCUUUGACGGGUAGCCGGCCUGAGAGGGUGACCGGCCACAUUGGGACUGAGAUACGGCCCAUACUCCUACGGGAGGCAGCAGUGGGGAAUAUUGCACGAUGGGCGGAAGCCUGAUGCAGCAACGCCGCGUGCGGGAUGACGGCCUUCGGGUUGUAACCCGCUUUCGCCUGUGACGAAGCGUGAGUGACGGUAAUGGGUAAAGAAGCACCGGCUAACUACGUG